CACCGGCAGCCCUAGUGGUGGCCGCUUUUAUUGGGCCUAAAGCGUCCGUAGCCGGACAGGCGAGUCUUUGGGUAAAUCCUACGUCUUAAGCGUGGGAAUUCUAAAGAUACUACCUGUCUUGAGGCCGGGAGAGGCUGGAGGUACUCCUGGGGUAGGGGUAAAAUCCUAUAAUCCUGGGGGGACCACCGAUGGCGAAGGCAUCCAGCUGGAACGGGCCUGACGGUGAGGGACGAAACCCAGGGGAGCGAGC
RNAcentral lists this ribosomal RNA (250 nucleotides) under uncultured archaeon. RNAcentral's name for it is "partial 16S ribosomal RNA". It matches the Rfam family "Archaeal small subunit ribosomal RNA", at positions 474 to 724 of the family's 1478-position model. The record is from RNAcentral.